UACAGAUUAAAUGGAAGGUUUUUGAAACAAUUCGGUCAAGAUUUGUAGAAUUUAGAAAAGAAAAACAGAUUUCAAAAAGGAAAAGAAAAAAAAAAGGAGAAAGAGAAAAAUAAAAAGAAUUAUUCGAAGUCAGUGAGUUCUCCAACAAAAAAUGUAAUAACUAAAGCGACAAUUGCCUUCAAAAAAGGAGAGAAAGAAAUUGAGAAUGGGAUGAAAUGCAAUUUCGAAUCAAGUCGAAUUUAUUUUUAUGGAUGAAUUGACUGCCUAUAUAGCGAAAGCAGCAAACUGGUGAAAGCACGCUGAGACAAACGGCAGAGG
This is a non-coding RNA of Schizosaccharomyces pombe (fission yeast), 318 nucleotides long. The record is from the annotation of a GenBank genome assembly. Lineage: Eukaryota; Fungi; Ascomycota; Schizosaccharomycetes; Schizosaccharomycetales; Schizosaccharomycetaceae.